Molecule: ribosomal RNA, 497 nt
Filed under: uncultured bacterium
Lineage: Bacteria
Description: partial 16S ribosomal RNA
Rfam family: Bacterial small subunit ribosomal RNA
Source: RNAcentral
GAUGAACGCUGGCGGCGUGCCUAAUACAUGCAAGUCGAACGGAAGGACGCUAAGCUUGUUGCCUUGAUGUUUGCGGCGGGCGGGCGAGUAACACGUGGAUAACCUACCUGUAAUUCGGGGAUAAUUACGGGAAACCGGAGCUAAUACCGGAUAAUAUUCUGAACCGCAUGGUUCAAAGGUGAAUGACGGCCUUGGGGUAUGUUAUAGAUGGAUACAGGCUUGAUUAGUUAGUUGGUAAGGUAACAGCCUACCAAGGCAACGAUGCAUAGCCGACCUGAGAGGGUGAUCGGCCACACUGGAACUUAGACACGGUCCAGACUCCUACGGGAGGCAGCAGUAGGGAAUCUUCCGCAAUGGGCGGAAGCCUGACGCAGCAACGCCGCGUGAGUGAUGAAGGCCUUCGGGUCGUAAAACUCUGUUAUUGGGGAAGAACAUAUGUCGAAUGAACCGUAGCCAUCUUGACGGUACCUAAUCAGAAAGCCCCGGCUAACUACGUG